CAAUAGCGUAUAUUUAAGUUGUUGCAGUUAAAAAGCUCGUAGUUGGAUUUCGGGUGGGACGCAGCGGUCUCGCAUUGCGUUUGUACUGCUGCAGCCCUCCUUCUUGCCGGGGGCGGCCUGUCGGACUUCACUGUCUGCGGGUCAGAAUCGGCGAUGUUACUUUGAGUAAAUUAGAGUGUUCAAAGCAAGCUUACGCUCUGAAUAUAAUAGCAUGGGAUAACACGGCAGGACUCUGGCCUAUCGUGUUGGUCUAUAGGACCAGAGUAAUGAUUAAGAGGGACAGUCGGGGGCAUUCGUAUUCCGUUGUCAGAGGUGAAAUUCUUGGAUUUACGGAAGACGAACAUCUGCGAAAGCAUUUGCCAAGGAUGUUUUCAUUGA
RNAcentral lists this ribosomal RNA (378 nucleotides) under uncultured eukaryote. RNAcentral's name for it is "partial 18S ribosomal RNA". It matches the Rfam family "Eukaryotic small subunit ribosomal RNA", at positions 592 to 976 of the family's 1831-position model. The record is from RNAcentral.